GCCUAUAUAGUUUAAAAAAAAUAGUAACUUGUGGUUUUACAGAUGCGUCCUGCUAUAGGCC
Molecule: transfer RNA, 61 nt
Filed under: Siphonosoma cumanense
Lineage: Eukaryota; Metazoa; Annelida; Sipuncula; Golfingiida; Sipunculidae
Description: tRNA-His
Source: RNAcentral